RNAcentral lists this long non-coding RNA (1299 nucleotides) under Homo sapiens (human). RNAcentral's name for it is "non-protein coding LINC02592:10". The record is from RNAcentral. Lineage: Eukaryota; Metazoa; Chordata; Mammalia; Primates; Hominidae.
AUGGGGAACCUGUGUGGCUGCAUUCAAGGUGACUCGAAGAAGCCUUCCAAAAAGCGUGUGAAAAGGAAGCCCUACUCUACUACCAAGGUAAAAGGACCAUCUUCUCUGAUAGAGAAUAUAAGAAGAUAUGCUGUGCACACCAACCAGUGUAGGAGACCUCAUGGCUCCCGGGUAAAGAAGAAGAGGUACCCACAAGAAGAUGACUUCCAUCAUACAGUCUUCAGCAAUCUUGAAAGAUUGGACAAGCUUCAGCCCACUCUUGAAGCCUCUGAGGAGUCUCUAGUUCACAAGGACAGAGGAGAUGGAGAGAGGCCAGUCAACGCGAGGGUGGUGCAGGUGGCCCCUCUGAGGCUUGAAUCUACUCCCCAUGAGGACACCGUACAUGACAUCACUAACCAGGACGCCACACACGACAUCGCUAACGAGGAUACUGUCCACGGCAUCGCUAACGAGGCCGCCGACAAGGGCAUCGCCAACGAGGACGCCGCCCAGGGCAUCGCCAACGAGGACGCCGCCCACGGAAUCGCCAGCGAGGAUGCCGCCCAGGGCAUCGCCAACGAGGUCGCCGCCCAGGGCAUCGCCAACGAGGACGCCGCCCAGGGCAUCGCCAACGAGGACGCCGCCCAGGGCAUCGCCAAGGAGGACGCCGCCCACGGGAUCGCCAAGGAGGACGCCGCCCAGGGCAUCGCCAACGAGGACGCCGUCCACGGCAUCGCCAACGAGGACGCCACCCAUGGCAUCGCCAACGAGGACGCUGCCCACGGCAUUGCUAACGAGGAUGCCGUGCACGGCAUCGCUAAUGAGGACUCCGUAUACGACAUCGCUAAUGAGGGUGCCGUAUAUGACAUCGCUAAUGACACCGUACAAGGCACGCUAACGAGGACGCUGUACACGACAUCGCUAAUGAGGACACCAUACAAGGCAUCGGUAAUGAGGACGCUGUAUACGACAUCGCUAACGAGGACACCAUACAAGCCGUCGCUAACAAGGACACUGUACACAACAUCGCUAAUGACGGCACCGUACAAGACAUCACCAAUGAGGGCGCUUUAUACGACAUUGCUAAUGAUACCGACAAGGCACGCUAACGUGGACGCUGUACACGACAUUGCUAAUGAGGACAGCUUAGUGGACAUCGCUAAUUAUGACGCUGUAUACGACAUCGCUAAUGACACCGUACAAGGCACGCUAACAAGGAUGCUGACGCUGUACACAACAUCGCUAAUGAGGACACCAUAUAAGACAUCACCAAUGAGGAUGCUCUAUAUGACAUCGCUAAUGACACCCACAAGGCAUGCU